CUCUGUCUCCACCCGCCGCCGGCCCCGAGGGCCAUGUCCCUGGUCUCACUCAAGCCUCUACAACUACACGAGGCAGGCCAGGCCGGUGACAAGUGACCCCACCUCGUGGACGAGUCCCGAAGGCCCCGGGCGAGGCCAGCUCCUGCCUCUGUGCCUCGCCCAAAGAGGACUUCGGGUCUGCAGACCAUCCUCAUCCCGUCUUGCAUUCAGAAAUAAACCUAGUGGCUUCUGGAGGUCGCUGCGGGCCAUGGUGGCCUAGACCUCAGUUGGGUAACCGAGGGCCCGAGCCUGCCAGAUGGGGAGAUCCUGGGACCCCCACCCCAGGGACGUGCCCCGCCUCCCGGCAGCCUCCCAGGUCUCGUACUGAAGAGGGGACUUUGGUCACAGCAGCUCUGGGUCAGUCGACGGGUCGGCACGCGGUGAGCUCUCGGCUAGGGAGGCCCCACCCCGAGGGGGUGCCAGCCUCCAGCCGUGACCCCUGACCACGCCCCACGGCUCUCUGGGCGCUCACCGCGCACCUGAGUAGGUUGGGUCCGAGGCCCCGUGAGGGCGCCAGGGAGGACGUGCCCUGCGGCAGCCAUGGGGACCCCAGGAAGGCCCGUGUCUCCCCAGGAGCCCUCACCGACAUCUUACAUCCACGGGCACAACCGCCCAAGCAGCAAAUCAGAGUGGGUCCCCGUCAGCCCUAAAGGCUUUUGCUUCAGAGACGCCAAGCCUUGAAAGGGACAAAACUCACUGAGCAACAUGCCGGACACGUGGGCCUGCCCGCUUCUUGGCAUUCAUACCCUAAAUCAAUAUUUAAUCUAAAGCAAGCCUCUGCUUCAUUUUGACCUGAAUUCAGGCCUCAUUGAGCCUGAGGCUCAUAACACAGCUUCUUUUCACAUGAGGUUUGGACAUGACUCCCCGCAGGACCGGGCAGCGGGCGGGUGGCCGGGGAACCAGCCUACUCUGCUUCGCUGGCUCUGUUGACAGAGGACUCUGGGCCCCCUCUCUGCACCGGAGCCUGGGCCGGGUGAGAGCAGCGGGCAGCACUCAGCACUGCACACGAUGAGAAGGCACAUUCGUUUGAACCGAGGGGCCGCCGGGUGAAUCCCACAAGCCCUGGCCCGCGUCUUUGCGAUAGGGAAGCAGCAGCCUGGUGCCAGCCCCUCGUGCCAAGCGGAGGAGCAGGGCCACCGGCCGGCAGACACCCCCUGGGCCAGCAGUUAGAGACACACCUGCCUCGUGUGGGUCCCAAACUCCCGCCUUAAGCAUCAGCCAUCAGGGAGGAUUCUCAUAGGGACCGUGUGCCAGCGCCGAGGGCUGCGCUGCGCACAGUUCAAGGUGUGCUGAGCAUGAACCGAGCGCCUGCUCUGGGCCAGGAACACUCGUAGGAGCUCACAUCAGCCCCGCGAGGCAGGGCGAUUCUCAUCCUAGUUCAGAGGACCAGAGUCAGGCCAAGGUCAUCCCACACGUGGGUGCUGAGGCUGGACGCCCGCCCACGCCUGUACGUGUCCAGAGCUCAGUCACCCCUGCCCCACCCCCUCCAGCCCAGCGCCGGGCAUUGGUGGCUAUUCCCAGAGCUACCAGGAUUGGAUUCAUGAAUUCUGGGCAAUUUGUGGGUAAAAGCAUUCUCAGGACGGGUUAAGGGGAAGCAUUCUGUCUGUUCCUCCUUUCACACAUGUGGGUGUUUUGAGAUUCAAAUUCAGCUCAUUUGCAUGGAGGAUUAUUAAAAGCACACAGGCACUGAACUCAAACUGUUCAUACAUGCACACAUGCAUGCAGACACACGUGCGUGCCUGAACACACACAUGCACACAGAGCUGGAGGAAGGAGGCAGGGAGGAGAAGGCGAGCAGGAAGGAGAGAGGGACGUGGGCUCCACACUCACGCCUGCACGGAGGCCGUUCAGAUCCUCACGAGUAGACGAGAGAGCCGUGGCUUGAUGCAGUUUCCAGUGUCUCCCCAGACAUACCAAUGUGGGGAGUAGAAAGGCGGCCUGGACGUCUGCUCCCAGAGCCACCUCUCCCACCAGACCUGCCAUGCAGCACUGAGUGGUCCUGGCACAGGACGCGUGGCUGAGUGAGUGAGGGGCCCUGGCAAGCCCUGUGCCUGGAGGAAUCCCCAGAUGCUUUGGGGUCAAGGAAGUUGAUCAGAGGUGUGGGUGCGCUCCCCACCUAGAAUUUCACCUUGAAUCUGGGGCUCCAGGCCCCCCUGAAGCCUGUGAUAGACACCUGCAGCCAAAGCCCUGUGGGGUCCAGGCCGAGAACUCGCAUGCCUGGCUCUCUGUCUGCUCCUGGGUUCGCGGGUAGAUGUCUGUCUUUCUUCCAGCGUUCUGUGCUCUAUAAUUUUGCGAGGUCUCGACUUUGGGAGAUUUGGAGGCACUAAAUAUUCAUGAGAUCCCAACAGAGGGAUCUUGGACGUGCCAGCUCCGACGGGAACAUUUCCUUUGAACCCCGUCUUUUAAGCAGUGGGAACGAGAUGCAGUUCACACAGCGCACAGUUUAGCCGUGUGGCGUAACGGUUAUUUAGCCAUGUGAUUUCAGUUUCCUCGUAUUUGUGAACUUCCCUGAUUUUCUUCUGUUACUGAUUUUUAAUCUUAUUCCAUUGUGAUCAGAGGACAUACUUUGUGCAUUUUCAGUCCUUUUAAAUCUACGGAGCCUUGUUUUAUGGUGUAGCAUCUGGCGCAUGCUGCAAGAAUAUUCCAUGGCCUCUUGAAAAGAAUAUGUUGUUCUGCCGUUGCCGCGUGGACAGCUCCGUGUGUGUCUAAGUCUAGCUGAUUUAUAGUGUGGUUUCAGUGUUCUGCACUUUUGAUCUUCUGCCAUCUGUUACUGUAUUGAAGACUCUAACUGUUAUUGUAAACAUUGUCUACUUCUUUCUUCAUUUCUGUCCAUUUUAAUUUCAUGUAUUUGAGGGCUCUGUUUUUAGGUGCAUAUAUGUUUAUAACCAUUUAUCUACUUGAUGGCUAGAACUUUUCAUCAGCAUAGCACGUCCCUCUGUCUCCAGUAACAAUCUUGGUCUUAAAAUCUGUUUGGUCUGAUUUUAGUACAGCUACUCCAAUUCACUUUUGGUUACUGUUCACAUAGUAUAUCAUUUCCAUCACUUAACUUUCAAUGUAUUAAAUCUUUGGAUCUAAAAUGUCUCGCUAUCUUUUUUUUGAUGGAGGCACUGGGGAUUGAAUCUAGGACCUCAUGCAUGCUAAGCAGGUGCUCUACAGCUGAGCUCUACCCUCCCCGCAAAGUGUGUCUCUUGUAGCUGGAUCAUAGUAGUCUAUUCAUUCAGCCAACCUUUACCUGUUGACUAGAAUGUUUAAUCCAUUUACAUUUAAUAUAAUUGCUGCUAAGGCAGAAUUUACAUCUGCCAGUUUGGUAUUUGCCUUCUACAUGUCUCCUCUCUAUUUUUCCUUUACUGUCGUUUUUUGGUUGAGUGAAUAUUUUCUAGUGUACCACUUUAAGUCCCUUGUUUUGCUUUUGUUGUAUAUUUUUUCAGUUAUUUUUGUUAGUCAUUACCCUAGGAUCAGUGUAUACUCCACAUUUAGACUAAAUCUCAGUGACAUACAGAAAUGACUCCUGUAUCGAUCUAGUCCCUCCCCGCCCCUGUGCUCUGAUUAUACAAAUUACGUCCAUGCAUGUGACAAACUCAAAAAUGCAUUUUUGCAGAUAUGACUUUACAAAAUUUUGUCUCAAAUUUUAAGGAAGUUGAGAGAAGAAAGGAGAGCAAGUAUAUGUUUAGAGUUUAUUAUUUUAACUUUUUAUUUACUAUUUCUGGUUCUCUACAUCUUCCUGUGGAUCAAGGUGUCAUUUCCUUACUUUACUGCCUCCUUGGCUCCAUUAAGUAUAUGUUAAGUAUGCUCCAUUUCUGUACAUUACAGGCCAACAGUACCAUCGUGUACAUCUUGUUUUAUGCAACUGCUUUUAAAUCAGCUAAGAGAAGAGAGGAGAAAAAAUAGGUAAUACACUGUCUUUUGUAAUUACCUAUGUAAUUACCCUUGUUGGUACUUUUUGUUUCUUGAUGUGGAUUUGAAUUACUGUCUGGUGUCACUUACUUUCAACCCGACCAUCCUCCUUCAGCAUUUCUUGCGAGGCAGGUCUGCUAGCAAGGAAUCUUUCUGCUUUUACUUAUCUCAGAAUAUCUUAUUUUCUCCUCCACUUACGAAAAUAGUGCCGAAUGUAAGAUUCUUGGUUGACAGUUUUCUUUCCACUCUUUGAAUGCGUCAUGCCCUUGCUUUCCAUCCCACAUUUUCCUGGUUAGAAGUCGGAUGUUAGUAUUAUUUGAGUUCCGUUGUCCGGGGUGAGUCACUGCCCUCUUGCUGAUCUCAGGAGUCUCCUUUCGUUGCUGACUCUCGUCGCUUUAAGUGCGCUGCGUCUGGGUGUGAGUCUUGCUCCGUGUAUCCUACGUGUGGUUUACUGAGCUUGUCGGGUGUGGAGAUUUUUGUUUUCUCAAAGUCAUUGUGACUUUCAGUAUCUUUUCUGCUUCCUUCUUUCUCGUCUCGUCCUGGUACCCUCAUUACACACACGUCAGUGCCACCUCACACGCACUGAUCAUUGGUCAACUAGGGUGGGGUCUCUGCUGGAAGGGCUCUUCUGCAAAGCUAAGAUUUCACUGAGAAAAUAGCGACACCAUCCUUUUCUCCCUGGGGUAUUUUUUAACUGUUUUCAGAAACAUUGCUCAAGUGAAAAUUCUGAGAAUUCAGUUCACAGGCGCACGAGAACCUGCCUGCGCAGAGUUGCUCUAAAUUAGGCCACCAGCAUCACAUGCCACAUGCCGGGCUCUUUGUGUCUCUCCAUUUGGAAGUAAGAGGGUUUGUCGCCGUUUUUAAAAGACAGCUGCUUGUGAAUUACGCCAGAGCUGCUGCUCAACUCGCAUUUAAAAAUUAGUUUCAAAAUCCAAAGCAGCAGUUUUCAAAAUCUCUCCUGCUCCAACCAACUCAGACCAACCCCCUCAUACCUAAUUAAUUCCCUAUUAAUACUUGAGUCUUUCAUCUUGCCAGUAUAGCCGCAAAAGUGCUGAGAUUAUCUCUAUUAGCUGCUUACCAGGCAUCGGUGCGCCUUUGGAAACGCUCACAGUUGCUCUACCAGCACACCCCAUCACGGGCUGGCCUUCUGCGGUUUCCUGGGAAACCAACACACAUCGCUACUUCAGAUCACACAGGAAACUUACAAAAAAAAAAA
Molecule: non-coding RNA, 5149 nt
Organism: Vicugna pacos (alpaca)
Lineage: Eukaryota; Metazoa; Chordata; Mammalia; Artiodactyla; Camelidae
Source: RefSeq, a predicted model, not a curated record